RNAcentral lists this ribosomal RNA (184 nucleotides) under uncultured bacterium. RNAcentral's name for it is "partial 16S ribosomal RNA". It matches the Rfam family "Bacterial small subunit ribosomal RNA", at positions 1318 to 1500 of the family's 1533-position model. The record is from RNAcentral.
GCAUGAAGUUGGAAUCGCUAGUAAUCGCGGAUCAGCAUGCCGCGGUGAAUACGUUCCCGGGCCUUGUACACACCGCCCGUCACACCAUGAGAGUCGGGAACACCCGAAGUCCGUAGCCUGACCGCAAGGGGGGGCGCGGCCGAAGGUGGGUUCGAUAAUUGGGGUNAAGUCGUAACAAGGUAUC